AAUCACCUCCCUCGACCUGCUGGUCAUGCUUCUCUUGAUGCAGCCCAGGAUGUGGUUGGCUUUCUGAGCUGCGAGGACUUGGUAUAUAUCUGAAUGUUCACCAAAUAAAGAGGUCUUUGGAACACCUCUGAUUGAAUGCUAUUAAAAUUUUAAACUUAUUUGUCCGGUCAGGAUGACCUGUUAAUUAGGUAGACCUGGGCAAGAAUUUUCUGACACCAUCCAUUUCUAACAGAAAGGAGGACAGAGUCAAAGUACUAUGUUUUUAACAAUCCAGUGUUCUAAUUAUUUAUUAAAAGUGUAACAAUGUCUUUUAGGCUAUAUUAAUAGUAUCAAAUUUAUCAGUGAGACAGAAAAUCCAGCUUCUAGCUAUAUCUACAGUCCAGGAUUUCUGGACUGAUACAUUUUUCUACAGAACACUGAAAAUAAUCAAUUUACUGAUAGAACACAUUUUUUCUUUAGCAUUUUCUUUUAUGUUCUUUAACAUAAUGUUUAGUGUUGUUUAACUUUUUAAUUGAAUAAAAAUCUUGUCCUUGUGAAACAAACAUAGAAACAAAAUGUUGUGUUCAUUACACUCUUUUAAAUUCCCCUCUAUCUUAAAAAAGUCAGACAAGUGAAAUGAUAAAAAAAUAGGCAUUUUGUCUCUGAAUUUCCAUUAUUAACAGAACAUCAGUUAGCUUGAUUAAUGCAAGUACUGUAAUAUUACAAGUAUGUUUUUUAAUUCUACCUGGUUUUGGAGGCCUUGCAUUUCAGAUGACUUAAAAAUAGGAUAUUACAGCACAGAUCAUGCUACACACAGAGAUAUCAAAGGAACACCAGAACUAAAUGAGAUAGCUAUUGCUGUGCAAGCUUUAAUCAAGGUAAAUUAGGAAAGUAUCUUAAUAGCUUCAUGCUGCAGAAUGUGUGCUUUUGUCACUGUCAUCUCUGUUUUGUGUAAUUCUUAAGGAGCUGUUUUGACUUUUCUUCUAUCUUCAUCUAUUUCAGCUAAGUGAUAUAAAUUUCUGUUUUCAAAAUAGAGUAAUAUACAAGUAUUAAUAGAUUCGUGGAUUACUUGGCUAUCUGAAUCAGAGAAAAUUACAUAGGGAUUAACAUUGUUUAAAAAAAAAAAAAAAAAAAGUAAACCUAAGUGAAAAUUCUGAAGGUUUAAACCUAUCUAAUAGUAAUAAAUGUGGGCCUGUCAGUUCCGUAGAUAUGUGCCCGUUAUCAGUUAUGGGUGUGGCUAAAGAGACCUCACACAUCUUGUUAAGGAGAUUAAAUAAAAUAGUGCAACGCUUCUGCAAAUCACAUACAAAAGCAAAUUAGAAAGAAGAUCCAAUCGUGUUAUCUACUCUUGCAUAAUUACAAGUGUAUCUUAAGCAGUGUCUGAAAUUGAAUGCUUAGACUUGGGAGGGAGGGUGCAGCUCAUAAGGAGGUACAUGCAGUCUGCUUAACGUAAGUGCCUUACAAUUUGUGAUGAAAGACCGGUGUCUCUAGAGACCUGCAGGGGGAGAUCGAUCCAUCAGAAUUAGGUGUUUCUGUCGGUCUCUUUACUAUGUAAGAAAUUACAAAGGGAGGUGCUUCAAGAUAUAAAAUGAUUAUGUGCGCGAACAGUUAAUUUCAUGGGGAAAAAAAAAAAAAGAACCCAAAACUUUUAUUUUUAGUUUUUAGAUGUAUACAUAAAGAUCUAAAAUUAAAUGCUUUUGAUACUAUUUUUAGAAGCAGUAUCUCUUUCUACCUCACAUCCCUGAAAGAUUUCAGAGUAUUUUGCUCAUCUGAGCCAGUGGCAAGCAGAAUGCAUUUCCUUUAGCUCUUCUUCUGUCACUUCAUGCUAAAAUGCAGAUAUUUUAAUUCUUUUUUACCAUAAAAUACUUUGCAGAAUGUUGAAUUAGGAUUUACAAACAAGUUUUGACCACUUUUUGGAUUUACAUUGUGAUAACCUCUAUUGAUACAUAUGUGUGGAUCUCCUUUGCAGAAUCUGACAAGUUACCAUCUGGCAGAUACUUGAGUGUUCCUAAAUUAGUUAUUUUUUUGAGAAAGUUAAAUGUCUUUCCUGUGAAAUAUUCUCUACCUGUCAAAUACUGAAUCCAAAUAUCUUCAAAAUAUGCAGUACUGAAGGUUUGGAGUUUUUAGUUUAAGAGAGAACGCUUUGUACAUCCGGAUACAAAGUAAUUUAUAUUGAAGGUCAGUUCUCAUUAUGCUUUACUUGCCUGUGACUACUGAAAUAUAUGCUUAAUACUGUAUAUUCAGAUCUUCAUUUCAUGAGUUACAGUUUUCUGAAUGUCAUUUUUAAAUUUUUCACAGGAGUGAUACAAUGGAGUGGUGCUUACAACAAACAUUCCAAAGAUGUCAUUGGCACUUCUGACAUUGCAAUAUAUGUUCAUUUUGGUACAUUUUUGUAAAUUUUUUUUUGUUCUGCAGAAGUUAUUCGGGUUUUCUUCACUUUUAAAUUUCAUUAGAGAACAUUAUACUGCAAUAUAUCUUAUUUUCAUUAUAGAAGGCUCCCCAAGACUUUAUUUAACAGUCCAAUUCGUUAUUUGGGGUGAGAAUCAGCUCACAGAUUAAGAAAUCUACAUUUAGGUGUGUCAUGGGGGUAUCCUUGUCUGAGCAGGGCACCUAAACUUCCCAUAUAGUCAGUGCAGAUCUGUCUUUGUAGUCAAUGGAGAUGUCUAAAGCUAUGCUACUUAGCCUCUGUCUCCAGUUUCAGAAGGGGACAGGUUUCCUUUAGCCCUGUGUCAUGUCUGCCAGCCCUGCAUAAGAUGUCUUUCAUAGCUCAUUUCUUCUGACACUGAACCAUGUGUGCAUGAGCAACUGAGUCAAGUUCCAUUGACUUCAUUGCCUGUAACAGAAACUUACGUAGUUCUUACACAGGCACUUAAAUUUAGGUGUUUUACUCUGCAGAUGGAAACUCCUGCUGCCAGGCUAAGAUGUCUAAAGCAUGGAUGUGAAGUUGUGUGCUCUGGCAGCUGUAGACACCCAUGCCCAAGUGACUGGUUUAGACCAAAGAGGAUACCGUAGGACAUAGAAAUACUUGUGUUUAGGUGCGUGAAUCUAACCAUCAGCUUGAACAGAGUGAUGGAAUAGUCAUACUUUUCUUCUGACUAGCUCACUUUGUAUAUAAAGAUAAAUAAUACUAAGAUUUUUAUUUUUAGCUCCUUCACUCCCUCCAGCAAGAUUUGUUCAUCUACAAAAGUAUCAUUCAAGCACAAAUCAAAGAAAAAACUGAAGAACAGUCUUAAAAUCUUUAUAAAUACAUAAAUGAUCGACUGACAGACAUUGACUUUUUACAUAAACAGAUUGAGAGAAAAAUUCUUGUUCAUUUACAUGUUAAUCUUCACUAGAUGCCAGUUCUCAUUCAUGUCCCCUCUUUGUGCAGAUUGAUACAAUAUUGCUUAAUGAAAAGUAACCCACGGAAGUAUUGAAAAUAAGGAAAUAAAGAAAAGUGCUAAUAUAGAUUUAAAAGUGACUGUUUAAUGUGUCUUUUGCAAAUUUGCAAUUAACAGAACAUGGGUUACAUUGACCUUGGCCUAUUAUUACCAUAUCUAGGAAAACUUAUUAAACUGUAGUGUGGUUAUUUCUAGUAAAAUAUAGCAAUGAAUUAAUUAGCAAGAAGUGUAGCACACUUCCCGUGUGUAUAAUUUAUUUACAAUUCUUUUCCCAUAUAUUUAUUUGAAAAUAUAUAGUCAGGUGAUCUUUAGGUAGUAAACCACAGCCCAUACCAGCAUUAACACUCCUAGGUGAUCAUGUUGCAACUAGUGAACACUCACUACAACAGACAAAUAUGCAUAAAGCCUCAGUUUCAAGCUUCUGAUACAAACAUUAAAAAACAAAUGUUAAAAAUAUUGAUGCAGCAAAAAAGAAGUGAUAGAGAAGAAACAUGACCUUUUUUUUUUAGGUUCAAGAGCUUGUAUAGCAUUUAAUUUUCUUAAAUGAAGUAGUAAAAUAUAUAAAAGCGGUUCGGUUUGGUUUUGUAAUUGCUUGUGUCCUUUUAUUGCAUGUCAGAGUUCUCAGUAAUUUGUUACAAAUUGAAUUGCAGAAAAAGUUCCACAUUCAGCAAAGCUGCCAACAACAGUUAUGUGAUGCACUGACUGUUCUCAGAGCAAAUAUUGAGAAGUAUUACAACAUAGAUGGAGGAGACACAGCAUGUUCAGCAAGAAAACUUUUGAAGCUUUUGCCUAACAAGCUACACGAGGAAGAAUCCAUAAUGGAAGAUCUGGGGAGAAAAUUUCAGGAUUAGAAAAAAAAAAAAGACUAAAAUGAUGAGCAGGUUUGACGAUGACCAAAAAUGGAAGCUGAUGAGCAAACUGUUCAAAAGACGAAUCUCUCUUCUAUGAUCAAGUUUCCCAUUAUCCCAUUAUAUAUUCCUUAAUUAUCCUUACAGGAGCAUUGAAAGGAGGGGACUUGGAGCCUGGAUCUUCCUCCUGUGCCCAGGCUGCCAAGCUGUGCACUAGCUGCGGGCGAUUGCCUCUCUAAGGUCUCUCAAAGCAGUGUAAGAGAUGGCAAGGACUGAGUUUUUCCUAAGGACUGAAGCACUUACCCAGGGUUCUGGGCAUUCAUUGAACUUGAGGACCUUUGAACCUAUAGCUCCAUAUACCAAUGACUUAACUACUAGUUUGCACUGUUUCUGGUGGGAAAAUAUUCUCUUUAAAGCUGGACACAGGGAGAGCAAGCACAGAAGAGCCAUAAUCUCUAGGCUACAUGUUUGGAUACUCAGCAUGAAGGAAGGGACUUUUCUAUAGGUUUGUUCUUUCUUUCUUCAGAUUUUUCCUGAGUAUUUUUGCUUGGUUUUUGAGGGGGGUGUGUGUGUUUUGUAUAUUGUUUUCUUGUAAUUCAUAGUCUAAUGUAAAAUGCAUAAAUGAUCUAGCAAGUCAAAACAUGAGGUUGUCCCUUUCUCAUGCAGUCACAGCUUUGGUAUGUCGUCAAGCUCGUGCAUGAGUAUUCUGUAUCUAGUCUCAUGAAUUUCAUAUUCUUUGUGUCCAAUGGCACAGCUUGAACAGAACUGGUGGCUUAUUCUCAUCAUAGAGGGGUAGUUAGGCUUCUUUUCCAUGACUUGGGAUAUUGUAAUCAAGCCCCAUAAAACUCCCAGCAGCAUACAAUGUCGGCUGCCCUGAUUUGUGGCUGAGCAUUCUAGCUUCUAGGUUAUUAUGCUGAAGGGGAGCAUUUCUCCAUUUUUAUGAAAGAAAAUGAAUGUCAGCGUUGUACUCAACAUUGUCUGGUUUUAAAUAUGUUCGAAAUGCAAAUUCAGUAAGUAACGAACUCUGCUCCUGGUGACACUGAGAAAUAUAGAUGUUUAACUUACAAGUCCCAAGUGACAGUAGCUGUGACAGAAGUCCCAGACAGCUCAAGCCCAGCAGAACCAAGGAAGAUUUACCAUGUAAUGUAACUGUUUAAGGGAGUUUGAUUCUGAAACUUCUGAAAAAUUCUUAAAGAUUUCUGCUUAAAUUGCUCUUCAGGCACAAUUCUUAGUCCGCGGUGAGAUUAGUUGUGUAAUUUGCCUAACAAUGUUUGUCUCACAAAGAUAUAUUAGAACUUGCUGCAGGUGAUAUAGACGUCUGUUGAUCUUUCUAUAAAUUUACAACAGAACAGUGGAAUUGCCCCUGCAGUUCCAAACUGCCACUGUUGUUUGUCUGUAACGGAUUUCCACAAAUAUCUGCUUUUCUCAGAGUUUAAGUCACUGAUUAAAGUCUCUGUUUCUAAUGUUUUUUGUCAUCUUCCUACCUCCUGUGACAUCACACUCUACUUAUGUCAAAAGAACUUUAUAUGUGUGACACCUGUGAUAUUAUUAAACUCCACAUAAAAGUAUUGACCUGUAAGUGAAGAUGUCUGUUACCAGUUAUAAUACAAAAAUAUGUGUAUGUCCACAUGUAGUGUCUUGACCAGGGAGACUAUACUAAGAAAGGAUUUUUAGAGAAUUAUGCCUGUUUGCAGUAUGAAAUCCAACAUUAAUUCCCACACAUUUAUAUUUUAGUUGAUUGAAAUUCAAGAACAAAUGAAGGCAGAACUUGAAAAUGAAAGACCAUAGUUAAAAAUCGGCAUUAAUCAAAGGUGUGGAAAUGCGGUAAUUCCUGUUCUACAAAUGGUGAACUGCAGUGAAGGUACAUCCAUCGCUCAGAAAACUCUCUGUAUUGUGCUUCAUGCUUGUUUAGUUUGAUACGGUAUCUCUAAGGUCAAUGGAAUGUUUCUCAUUAUGGUCAGUAUUCAUUGAAAUAGGCUUUGAGUUAUCUUCUCAUCUGAAAAUGGUUGAGAAUACGCUGUGUUGAUAAUAUAAUGACAGUGUUAUCAGUGGUUUUAGUAAUAAUGCAAGUCUCUGUAUAAAAAUAAAGCUCUAUUAUUCUUACCAGGUCUACAUUAAUGAGUAUACACUGUGUUACCUGAAUAGGUAGGUACUAGAGGACUUUAUUAAUAGAUACCAUUAAAAUUGCUUGCUUAAAUAAGAGAUUAAUUUAUCAUUUCAUUCACAGCUAAUUGUUGUAAAAUCACAGCAACAGAUACAUUUUCAUGAAAAGCCAGUUAACACUGAGAUAUAAAUAGAUUAUAGAAACAUCCUUGGGUUUGCUUCAUUCUUUUCUGACAGUUUAUUAAGGAACCAGGCAAAUUAUUUUUUCAUAACAGUGUAACUAUCUGGGCAGCAGAUAUUUACCUCGGAUUUAGUCUGUAUAUUGUUAUAUUUUAUUAUAUUCAUAUUUUUAAAAAAAAACUAUAAAAUACGUGAGCCCUCUUGUGGCCAAAAGAUCUUCUAUGUGCCUCUUGAAAUCAUCAAAGACUGUGUGGUGUGGUGAAUGAAGUGCCUGAAAAAUAUCUAGAAAACACUGAAUGUAAAUUUGUUUAGUUAGUACUUCUAAUGUCAGUUCUCUUUCAUUUUGCAUAACAAUUAAAUACAUUUAAGUUUUCCUUUGCAUCUUUCUUAAUUUACUGUUUGUAGCUAAAAUGACCAUGAAGUUCUAGUUUUGUAACUAGAUACAAACAGGGCACAGAACUCCAAGAUUUCUAAUAAAUUUGUUCUUCUACUGUAAUUGCCAUGAAAGGUGCUAGUUAAUGUAGAAUGGGUUUUGUGGAGAUCUUUUUUAUGACACAGGGUUUUUAACUUGAAAAUCUUCAUAUAUAUAUAUAUAUAUCAAUGGUUUGAGUCAUAUAGGACCAAACAUAACUAUCAGAGUGAAUUAUCUUUUAGUUAUUGCUGAACUGGAGCUGAACUCUGGUGAUUUUGAGGCAGAAGAGACUGUAUUUCACUGCCGCUUACCAUUCUUUCCUCACAGAUUCAUGGGAAAAUAAUCCAAACCAUCCAAGCUACAUAUUCUUAUUUAAGAAAAAAUCUUAUCCCCUGAUACCAUAAUUUCCAUGGGUUUUGAGGUUUUUCACUUCCCUUCAUUAAAAUGGUCUGUUUCUGCAGUGUAAUACCUUUCUUUGUAAAGAAAGAGGAAGAAUUUUACAGCUGUUCAAAUUACCUCAUGAACUGGACCUUGAGAAAUUAGGUAGCAAUUUUCAUUGAUUAGAUAAGAUAUCAGCACUCUGUGGUUAAAGUCAUAGUAACUUUAGAGACAGGAAAAGGAUGAUACUUUAAAUUCAAAGUGUGUAUUCUACUCCUCACAGAUUCCUCACUGCAUAAGGUCUGUUACUUUACUCAUACACCUGAUGUAAUAUAUUAAUGGCAUUUUAACAUAUAUAUGUCCCAUGGAUUGCUGAAUGCUUACUGGUUAUUUGUUCUAAUUUUGCUGAUCAAUAGUGUUUGCUUAAUUAUUUUCCCUGGGGCCUGAAAAAGGUACAAAAAAGUUUUGGGUUUUUUUCUUGUAAGUGGCUAUUUUAAAGGUAUGCUGGAGAGUAUUGGUUGCAAUAUCUUAACCUUCUGUAUCAUGAUAUUCAUGGUACUUGUACAAAAUUAUUUAUUUAUGACACAACUAUAUAUAUGUUAAAGAAAUACAAACUAUCAACACAUCUAUUUAU
This is a long non-coding RNA of Athene cunicularia (burrowing owl), 7914 nucleotides long. RefSeq lists it as uncharacterized. The transcript has 6 exons. Lineage: Eukaryota; Metazoa; Chordata; Aves; Strigiformes; Strigidae. The record is from RefSeq and is a predicted model, not a curated record.